GCUCAAUUAACGCUGCGGCAUCCUUACACAUGCAAGUCGAACGGUAACGCGGGGCAACCUGGCGACGAGUGGCGAACGGGUGAGUAAUACAUCGGAACGUGCCCAGUAGUGGGGGAUAGCCCGGCGAAAGCCGGAUUAAUACCGCAUACGACCUGAGGGUGAAAGCGGGGGACCGCAAGGCCUCGCGCUAUUGGAGCGGCCGAUGUCAGAUUAGCUAGUUGGUGGGGUAAAGGCCUACCAAGGCGACGAUCUGUAGCUGGUCUGAGAGGACGACCAGCCACACUGGGACUGAGACACGGCCCAGACUCCUACGGGAGGCAGCAGUGGGGAAUUUUGGACAAUGGGCGCAAGCCUGAUCCAGCCAUGCCGCGUGCAGGAAGAAGGCCUUCGGGUUGUAAACUGCUUUUGUCAGGGAAGAAAUCCCUUGGGUUAAUACCUCGGGGGGAUGACGGUACCUAAGAAAAGCACCGG
Molecule: ribosomal RNA, 471 nt
Filed under: bacterium mgm15
Lineage: Bacteria
Description: bacterial SSU rRNA
Rfam family: Bacterial small subunit ribosomal RNA
Source: RNAcentral